CCUACGGGGUGCAGCAGUGAGGAAUAUUGGUCAAUGGUCGGGAGACUGAACCAGCCAAGCCGCGUGAGGGAUGAAGGUACAGAGUAUCGUAACCUCUUUUGUCAGGGCACAAAGGCGGGGAGGUGUCCCCGGAUGAGUGUACCUGAAGAAAAAGCAUCGGCUAACGACGUGCCAGCAGCCGCGGUAAUACGGAGGAUGCGAGCGUUAUCCGGAUUUAGUGGGUUUAAAGGGUGCGCAGGCGGUCUGUUAAGUCAGCGGUAAAAGCCCGGGGCACAACCCCGGCCCGCAGUUGAGACUGGCAGUCUCGAGUUGGAGAGAGGUAUGCGGAAUGCGCGGUGUAGCAGUGAAAUGCAUAGAUAUCGCGCAGAACUCCGGUUGCGAAGGCAGCAUGCCGGCUCCACACUGACGCUGAGGCACGAAAGCGUGGGUAUCGAACAGGAUUAGAUACCCGUGUAGUC
RNAcentral lists this ribosomal RNA (458 nucleotides) under uncultured bacterium. RNAcentral describes it as "partial 16S ribosomal RNA". It matches the Rfam family "Bacterial small subunit ribosomal RNA", at positions 338 to 795 of the family's 1533-position model. The record is from RNAcentral.